Molecule: ribosomal RNA, 595 nt
Filed under: Rhodotorula sp.
Lineage: Eukaryota; Fungi; Basidiomycota; Microbotryomycetes; Sporidiobolales; Sporidiobolaceae
Description: partial large subunit ribosomal RNA
Rfam family: Eukaryotic large subunit ribosomal RNA
Source: RNAcentral
CCUAGUGGGGAAAAAAGAACUAGCAAGGAUUCCCCUAGUAGCGGCGAGCGAGCGGGCAAGAGCUCAAAUUUAUAAUCUGGCACCUUCGGUGUCCGAGUUGUAAUCUCUAGAAAUGUUUUCCGCGUUGGACCGCACACAAGUCUGUUGGAAUACAGCGGCAUAGUGGUGAGACCCCCGUAUAUGGUGCGGACGCCCAGCGCUUUGUGAUACAUUUUCGAAGAGUCGAGUUGUUUGGGAAUGCAGCUCAAAUUGGGUGGUAAAUUCCAUCUAAAGCUAAAUAUUGGCGAGAGACCGAUAGCGAACAAGUACCGUGAGGGAAAGAUGAAAAGCACUUUGGAAAGAGAGUUAACAGUACGUGAAAUUGUUGGAAGGGAAACGCUUGAAAUCAGACUUGCUUGCCGAGCAAUCGGUUUGCAGGCCAGCAUCAGUUUUCCGGGAUGGAUAAUGGUAGAGAGAAGGUAGCAGUUUCGGCUGUGUUAUAGCUCUCUGCUGGAUACAUCUUGGGGGACUGAGGAACGCAGUGUGCCUUUUGGCGGGGGUUUCGACCUCUUCACACUUAGGAUGCUGGUGGAAUGGCUUUAAACGACCCGUCUUA